GUUUUUGAGAACUUAGAAUGAUGCUAAGAAACAUUAGACCAUAGAUUUUAGUGAAAUUCUAAACAUAGACUCAGUUGACAUGGCAAUGAAUUCAGGAGUAAAGGUGAGUCUCAAUGUCUACCUUGGUUAACACUAUGCUGCAAUACUUCUCUACCUGGCUUAACCAGAAUCUGUCUGUAAGAAUCCUUCAGACAGACAGGCUCUUUCCUCCCCUAUUCCUUAUCACUUUUAUAUAUAGGGUAAAUGUAAUAGUUUUGUAAAAAUCAAGCCUAAUAUUAGUAAUAUUAUUUGAAAACAUCUAAAUGAAUAUUCUCAAUUUGCAGUUAAGAAAAUUGAGAUUUACAGAGAUAAAGAAACUAGACCACAAGAAAAUACAGAGAAAUUACUUAGAAACAGCAAUUAUAAAUUAUCCAGAAACAACUAUUGUAAUUAAUUUAAUGUUGUUGCUGCCACUGGUGCUCUUUCCCAUUCCUUGGAUACGUAGGGGAAUGGGCUUACUGGACUUUCGAUCCCCCCAGUACAUAGUUGUAUAUUCUUCGUUGUGGGUCCUUCUAGUUGUGGCGUGUGGGACGCUGCCUCAGCAUGGCCUGAUGAGCAGUGCCAUGUCCGCGCCCAGGAUUCGAACCAACGAAACACUGGGCCGCCUGCAGUGGAGCGCGCGAACUUAACACCUCCACCACGGGGCCAGCCCCAGUACACAUCCGAUUUUUACGGUUUGGCGGAUCAGAUAACAUCAGGACGCCUGGAAUGCAUAGUCCUUAAUGUUUUGUGGUGAAGCAUUCAGUCUCUAUGAGGCCCAGGAGCAAGUUCUCAAAAGAUAAAUAGUAUCUGGGGACAUGGAUUUCCUAAAAUGCCUGAGGGGUUGGCACAGUGAUUAUACUUUGGGUCUUGCUAAGGGCUCCAUAAAUCAUCCCUGUCUGCUACAAAUACUUCAGUGCCAUUGGAUUUACUAUAUUACAAGCCCAAGGAACAGAGGAGCUUGUAUGUAGCCUGGAUCUGCUGCAGGGCAUUGGUUUGAUUUGAACCUCGUUUAAACUGGUAUCCCAACAGAUACCGAGAAUCUGCAGAGCACCCAAAUGGGUAAACAUCGCCUCAAAAAUGAAAAAGGAACAAUAUGAUGCCAAGCACUGUGAGUGUGUGUGUCUGUCUGUGGGGAGGAUAUAUGCUAGUAAAAAAUGUAUUGACUUUUCUCUAUUUUAAGGGAAUAUUCUGACAAGCCGUAGACCAUUGGAAUGUAAAACUUCACAGAGAGUAACCUAGAAAUCCACCAGAUUCUUCUUCAAGGGGGCAUAGCUUCCCUUCAUUAAAUGACUCUGGAUGUAUAAACUAGUUGCUGUCUGGGAAAUUACUCGUCUGAUUUCUGAUCACCAGAUCCAGAAUCCUCCUGACUAUGUGGCUCAUGUAAUAUUUUACCAGCUGCCCAUCUAUUUCAUUGCCAUGAUCAAUUAGCUAUCACCAACAACCUUCACAUAUUAAAACACUUAUUUACUGCUCCAGCCCUACUUUCGUUAAGUAGCUAUGCCUGCCUUUGUACCUCUGACAGUCCAAGAUCCCACCAUGCCAUUUGAAACUGGGGAGCUGAUUUUAACGGCCACAUCUUCUAACCACAGAUAUGCAGAGGGCAGCCACCACAAUGAUGCUUGUGCUCCACUCACAGAUGCAUAUUAUAAUGUUGGAUUGAAGAGAGAGAGUCUAGGCACUGUUGGGGUACAUUUUUGGGAUUGUGGUGGUUACAUAAGUAAAUUCAGUUAAACAUUCUUAUAUCCUUAAAUCAUCUGUUUAAUACUGCAGAAUUCUGUUAUCUCAGCCUUAUUGAAUAUAGGACAAUUUUGAAUUUAGGCUCCUAUCAAUCAAUUGAGCUACUCUAGUAAACACCUUACUUCUGGAUUUGGGUAAAAACACCAACAUCUACAAAUUUAGCCUAAUCCAAUGUGAUACUCUAUCUUCCUUGGUCUACAUCAGGAGUCAGCAAACUUUUUCCUGAAGGACCCAAUAGUAUAUAUUUUAGGAUUGAUGGCCUUAAGUUUUCUGUUGCAACCACUCAAUCCUGCCAUUGCAGCACCAAAGCAGACAUUGACACAUAUGAAUAAAUAACUGCAUGGUUGUGUUCCAAAAAAACUUCAUUUACAAAAAAAUUGGGACUACAUAAUUCAGUUUUCUGACCCCCGAUCUAAAACUCUAAAAAUUCACUUCCUAAUAUAUUUACCAGCUUUCUGCUGAAGUAAAGUAGCAAUUAGAAAAAUAUUUUGGAGUAUUAACUAUCUCUUCCUCAUUCAGACUUUACAUUUGUCUCCCUAGACCAAGCAUGAUGGGCUAUAACCCUCAUGUUGAGUGUGGGUCAAUGAGAGUAGUAAGGCGGAGUCCUGAUGCAAAUGUGCAUCCCUUUGAAAAGUGAAUCUACAGCUGAUGUCAUUACAGGGUCUUAAAACAAAGGAAGGCCAGUCUCCUCAGACACUGGGAGGACCUGUCUUCCCUGCCUUUAGAAGCUCAAGGGGAUUUGGAUGUUCAAGUUUAUGAGAUUUAUCUAAGUCCUCACAUAUGCCCUCAGUAUAAAUCUCAGGGUCCUACUGCUUUUUCAUCAAUUUUCUAAUUUUCAAUAAGAGCCAUAAGUUUAUGAAUCAACUUAUAUUUUAAUUCUCCUUCAUACAAAGUCAAAUUUUGGAUUUUAAUUUUAGCUGCAACAAUCUUACAAUGAGAUAAGAUGUGCUUGUAGCAUAAGCAUGGAAGGUUAGUGGUUCUCAUUCUGUAACUUGUGCUAGAAUUUUAAAGCCUGUGCUUGUCCUUUUUUCCCCUAAACUCGAUCAGAAAUUGCUAGCAAGUCUGACUGUUUGUAAUUAUCUUUCCCACCAAAGUCAAUUGCAGCAACUAACAGGUGUCUCACAGCUUUGUCUUCAAUUGGCACCCCACUCCAAACAGAAAAAAAAAAUGAAUAAUGAAUUAAAUAACUGUUCUAUUACUGCAUACAUUUACAUUAUCCCACUUUCCACUGGCAAUGAGGUUAUUAUCAUGUUCAAGCCUAGUCAAGUCAGAAAACCCUCCCCAGACUGCCAUCUUCAAAGAUCUACCACCCACAGGACUACUAUGUACUACUACUUCCUAUGGGACUACUUCCUAUAGGAAGUGCAGUGUCAAUCAGAGUCAGCUUGCGAAAAUGGAAAGAAUUCAAGAUAUUCCAAACAGAGAAAGAUUUAAUGCAAGGAACUGGCUACAAACAUGCCAUAAAUCACUGGAUGGAUAAAAGAAAAAAGAGAGUGGUUCCUGAAGAACACUUAAGAGGAGAAAUGAAACUUAGAAAGGAGGAGGUCAUUUCAACCCCUGUACUUGAACCAAGAAGUCUGAACUAACUGCAAUGUAACUGAAGUCACUGCAUGGCCGGUCCUGGAACCACUGGAGAGGUGCUGAGUGGUGAGUGUUUGUCUUGAAAUGGGAUGGCCGCUGCAGAAGCAAAAUGGACUCUUUUUUCUUUCCAACAUGUCUCACCUUAACAAACUUCAUAGGAGGACAGCUGGCAAUGGAUUUGGGAAUGUAGUUUGCAGGCUUCCAGUCUCAGCAGUUCAGAGCCGAGAAGAAAUAAGUGAAAGAGGCCUGCAGUGAAAGGAAAAAAUAUCUGACGAAUAGGUUCUUUGUGGCACAUACUACUUGUUGGUGAACACAGCUGUCUCUCCCCACAAAGGAACAUUUGUGAUGAUAUUACUGUUGACUAUACCAUCAAAUUCCCAUAAGGAAGUAAAAGUUUGGAUCAAGAACAUUUCAACACAAUGAAAAGUUUCUUCAUAUAAAAAAUGGAUUCAGUAGAUAAUCUCAACUACUUUCUUCAUAUUUUAAAAUGUUAUGGCUCUGGACUCAUUGAAAAUGGUGAGUAAGAAAUUCCAAAAUUCUAUCCUUCCAUAAAAACAAUGAAUAAAGUGGAAGAAACUGUUGGAAUCAACUUUUUUGGAACUCUAAAAACUAAAGAAAAACUUAUAGCAACUAAAGGAAUACAUAAUCAAGAAAAGCUGGCUCAAUCUCAACUAGAAUAGUUUUGUGGUAUCUAACCUACCCUGGUCACAUCCUUCUCUUUCCAGCUUAGUAGUUGUUUUGAAGAUAACAACAAUACUCAUUCUUAGUAAAGGUCCUGCAACCCAAAGUUGCAGGAUGAACCUCAUUUGCAAGGAAUUGUACUUGUGAGUUUGACCUAUGUGUUGGCUCCAUGGAGGAUGUCCAAAGGGCUUGUCUUAGCCCUUCCAAUGCUGAAGUUGGUACUCAGGGGGCAUUUGUCUAUAAUAUUUACAGGUGAAAGUGUUAGUCACUACUGCUUGGGUCAAUAGAAGACUGUCAAAGAAAACAAUAGACUAACCAAAAUGCUUGUGAGGAAAGCUGAGAAAUGAGAUGCCUUGGGAGUAAGAGUUUUGAAAAACUUCAACAUAUUCCUGGGAAACUAGAAAGCCAUGAGCACGUGUAUACAUGCAUAUGCUCAGGAAAGACCUGAAAAUACCCUGAGCUCUUACUGAUGGCUGUCACUUAGGCUUUGUGCAAACAGGAAGUGGAGGCUAAGACAUAGUUGCAAACUACCUAGCUGUGUGUUGAAGUUGUAUCCCAACACAUACAGAGCCCAUCUUCAAAGUCCUGAAGAUAUUUCUUGGUCGUAGGCAUUUAAGGAAAUCUCUGCCCAACCUCUAGGUGACCAGUAAGUUAAUGGAACAGAGAUUCAGUGUCCACAUACAGCAAAGAAUACAGACAUUACAAAAUUAGUUAAAUAAAGUUGCUAAACAAACAUCUACAAGAAACAGCAACAACAUCAAACACUGGAGAGGAGGGAAAACUUUUUUUUCCAAAUUUCUAAUAUUAUAAUUUUUGAAAUAUUCAAUUUUCAACAGAAUUUGUGAGAAAUGUAAAGAAACAAUAAAGUAUGAAUUAUGCACAGGAAAAUAGAAGAAAUUACUAGAAACUGUUUCUGAGGAAGACCAGAUAUUGGACUUACUAAACCAAGACUUUAAAUCCAUUAUUUUAAAUAUGCUCAAAAGCUAAAGGAAAACAUAUAUGAAGAACCAAAGAAAACCAUAAGAAAACUAUCUUAUCAAAUAGAGAAAAUCAAUAAAGAGGUAGAAAUUAUGAAAAGGAACCAAACAGAAAUUCUGCAAGUAAAAACUGCAACGACUGAAAUGAAAAAAGUCAUUAGAGAGUUUCAGUGGCAGAUUGGAGCAGGUAGAAGAGAGAGUGGCACAAACCUAAAGAAAGGUCAGUUUUGAGAUCUGUCAAUCUAAUAAUAGAAAGGAAAAAGGAUCAUGCAAAAUGAACACAGCCUAAGAGACCUAUGGGACACCAUCACACCUACCAAUGCACAUAUAAUGAUAGUUUCAGUAAGUUAGGAGAGAAAGAAUGGGUCAGAAAAAAUAUUGAAACAAAUAAUGGCUGAAAACCUACUAAAUUUGACAAAACAGUGAUCUACACAUCCAAAAACCUCAAUAAACUCCAAGUACAAUACACUCGAAGAAAUCCACACUAGACACAUUAUAAUCAAAUUGUUGAAACCUAAAGACAGAGAAUCUUAAAGGUAUCAAAAGAGAAUCAACUUGUCACCUACAAGAGCUUCUCAAUAAGAAUAACUGAUGACUUCUCAUCAAAAACUAUGAGGGCAGAAGGCAGUGGGAUGAUAUAGUCAAAGUGCCUUAAGACAAACAGGACUCUUAGCCAAGAAUUUUAUACCUGACAAAGCUCUUCUUCAAAAGCGAAGCUGAAAUGAAGACACUUGAGAUAAAUAAAAACUGUGAUAGUUUGUCACUAUUAGACCUGCCCUACAAGAAAUGCUAAAGAGAGCCCAUCAAGCUGAAAUAAAGGAUAUAAGAUAGUAACUUGAAUCCACACAAAGAAAACAAUACCAAUAACUAGACAAGAAAAUAUGAAAGAACUUUUAUAUACCUUUUGUGAAAUGAGAAGUGAUGCACCAUCUCAAGAUUCGUGCUCUGAUUUAAAAGAAGCUACAGAGAAGCUACACUGUAUCACAGGAUGGUCCUACUGCUUGUGAAAGCAGGUUUGGAUUUGUAAGCUUGCAAGGCUAGAUCUGCAAUAAAGUGGCGACUUCAAAAUGGCCGUGGAAAGUAUGAAAAUGGGAAAUUAAUGAUUUUACAUUCAGAAACUUUGCUUAUAAUUGAAUCAUGUUAUGUGACAGGCUCUGGAGACACGCAGCUCCCUGAUGGCAGGAAUUCCUUGAAAUAUUUAACAAUGUUUAACUGCAGUGAUGGACUAUUUUAUAGUGCUUAUAGCAUGUCAAUCCAGCUUUUCACUUGCAUCCGCAGUGACAAGCAAGUUCACACAAGGGAAGAGAAAUAGACUAUGAACAUUUAUUUUCCAUAUUUACUACAGUUAUUAACCACUUUGGUCGCUUGCUAUGAGAAAACACCUUGGAAUAAAAAGCUGUGUCCUAAACUAAUGUUCAAGAUAUGUCUAUCUUUUCACUUCUCUUUGAUUUACUCAGAAAAUCAGUGUAAAAAAAACAGUUAACUUAGCCAUAUAUUUUUAAGAAAAAAAUUCAAUUUUAUCACCACUUUGAGCAACCUAAAGCAAUGAAGUAGCAGAGGAAAGAAAUUUGAGGUGAAAAGAGCAAUGGAUUAAAUACUUCAUUCAUUUAUGGAGUGCUUGCUGCAUAAUUACAGAAGUAGGUAUUUCAACUUAUGAAAAGUACAAAGAAAGAAAAGUACUUCAUUAUAAAGCAAUCAAAAAGCUGUC
Molecule: long non-coding RNA, 6705 nt
Filed under: Equus caballus (horse)
Lineage: Eukaryota; Metazoa; Chordata; Mammalia; Perissodactyla; Equidae
Description: lncRNA (ENSECAG00000030756.3)
Source: RNAcentral